AGAAAGGAUCAAUAAAUUCCAAAAUUCAAAUAUUAUAUCUUUGCUUUAACCACAUUAAAAAUAACUAUAAACACUUUAAAUAUUAACUCAUAGCAUUCAUAAAAAUUAUUAUGCAGAGUAACUCUUACAUGAAGGCAUAUAACUGAAGAAAUAUUUGAUAUCUAUAUAUGGGAGCACUUAAUAUUUUAAAUAUGUCAAUGCUACCUAAAUCCAGAUUCAAUGUUGCUCAAACAAGCUUCUUCUUAAAUUGAUAAACUGUUUUUAAAAUUUAUGCAGAAGAAUAAAGGGCCAAGAAUACUCAAACCUCCCCAGCAAAAGAAAAUAAAGAAAAGCAGCAGAUUCAAAAGGCUAUUAUAAAACAAAAAUAUUCAGACUAUGUGGGAGUGAUUCAGGGUAAUGCAAUUGCCAACAGAAUGGGAUAGAAGAUUAUGAAAAAGACCCCUACUUCUGAGAAACUUUGCUUUAUGAUAGAUGAGGCAUGGCAAGUUAUUGAGCAAAGGGAGUGACUACUACAUAAGAGGACUUGGAAACCGUAGAUUUCUCAUACAAGAAACAAGACAAUAAUCAUGAGUACAAGGUUGACAAAUUUGACUACAUAAAAAUCAAGAACUUUAGUGUAUGAAAACGGAUUUUAGAGAAAAGCAAUCAAUAAACAAGUAAACAGAAUUGAAAAAAUACUCAGAUAUGAACAGGUAUUUUGCAAGAAAAGUAAUACAAAAGGCUAAAAGAGAAGUGAUGUGCUGAACUUCAUUAGUAAUCACAAAAAUACAAAUAAGAUCACUAUGAGUUACUAUUUUAGAUCCAUUCAAUAGGUAGAAGUUAAGUCUGACUAUGCUGAGUUUUAUAGAUAAUAUAGGUCGCUGGGGUCGAUUACGAUGACGAGACUAUAAAUUGGAUAAUCAGUAUGGAAAACAAUUUGGCAUUAGCUUGUAAAAGUGAUUCUUCACUUCCUCUUUGAUCCAAUAGUUCAACUCCUCAGUAGUUACCGAAGAGAAACUCUUUCAAAAGUGGACCAGGAAACAUGUAUAAUUAAGGUUCGAAUAAGCAUUUUUUUGUAAUAAAGAAACUCUGAAACAUCAUAAAUCCCAUAAAUAAGGUAAAUAGGUAAAUCAAUUUUAUUACAAUCACACAAUGGAAUAUUCUGCAUCAGGAAAAAUAAAUGAAUGAUAUACCAUGGGUGAUCUUAUUACAAUAGCAUUGAAUGAGAAGACCACAUGCAGUAUGAUGACCUUUAUAUAAAGUUCAAAAAAAGGCCAAAUAAACUGAUAUCUUUAAUAUAUAAAAAGGCUUUCUAGUAACAGACAAUGGAUGUGAAAAGAUAGUUAACAAGAAAUGUGACUGGAAAAUAAAAAAUAUAUAUAUAUAUUUAAAUACUUAGUCAAGCAAAGGGUGUAGUUAGAUAAACACUGUUUUCACUUUUUAUGGAAGAAUAAAUGAAGACAAUCUCCCUGAAAAGCAGUGUAUUAAUAUAUAAAGAAACCUUAAAAUGCUGUCAUUCUUUGAAGUAGUAAUUCUUACAAUCAGUUCCUAGACAUAAUCAGUGAUACAAAGAUUUAUAUAGAGAUAUUUGUCACAAUAUGAUCAACAGUAG
Molecule: long non-coding RNA, 1591 nt
Organism: Equus caballus (horse)
Lineage: Eukaryota; Metazoa; Chordata; Mammalia; Perissodactyla; Equidae
Source: Ensembl